Molecule: ribosomal RNA, 301 nt
Filed under: uncultured bacterium
Lineage: Bacteria
Description: partial 16S ribosomal RNA
Rfam family: Bacterial small subunit ribosomal RNA
Source: RNAcentral
CAGCCGCCACGGGAAUACGGAGGGUGCAAGCGUUAAUCGGAAUUACUGGGCGUAAAGCGCACGCAGGCGGUCUGUCAAGUCGGAUGUGAAAUCCCCGGGCUCAACCUGGGAACUGCAUUCGAAACUGGCAGGCUAGAGUCUUGUAGAGGGGGGUAGAAUUUCAGGUGUAGCGGUGAAAUGCGUAGAGAUCUGGAGGAAUACCGGUGGCGAAGGCGGCCCCCUGGACAAAGACUGACGCUCAGGUGCGAAAGCGUGGGGAGCAAACAGGAUUAGAUACCCCUGUAGUCCCUGUCUCUUAUAC